RNAcentral lists this ribosomal RNA (845 nucleotides) under uncultured archaeon. Its description in RNAcentral is "bacterial SSU rRNA". It matches the Rfam family "Archaeal small subunit ribosomal RNA", at positions 23 to 873 of the family's 1478-position model. The record is from RNAcentral.
CUGACUGCUAUCGGAUUGGUACUAAGCCAUGCGAGUCAUUGUAGCAAUACAAGGCGGACGGCUCAGUAACACGUAGUCAACUUAACCUAUGGACGUGGAUAACCUCGGGAAACUGAGAAUAAACCGCGAUAGAUCAUUUAUGCCUGGAAUGGCUUAUGUUUCAAACAAAUUUAUUGCCGUAGGAUGGGACUGCGGCCUAUCAGCUAGUUGGUGAGGUAAGGGCCCACCAAGGCUAUACCAGGUACGGGUUCUGAGAGGAGAAGCCCGGAGAUGGGUAUUGAGACACGGACCCAGGCCUUAUGGGGCGCAGCAGGCGAGAAACUUUAGCAAUGUGGGAAAGCAGGAUUAGGCUAAUCCGAGUGAUUUCUGUUGAAGAAUUCUUUUGUCAGUCGUAAAACCACAGACGAAUAAGGGGUGGGCAAGUUUGGUGUCAGCCGCCGGGGUAAUACCAGCCCCUGGAGUGGUCAGGAGGUUUAUUGGGCCUAAAGCUUCGGUAGCGGGUUUUGCAAGUCUCCGGUUAAAUCCAGCUGCUCAACAGAUGGGCUGCCGGAGAUACUACACAGUUAGGGAGCGGGAGAGGCAGACGGUAUUCUGUGGGUAGGGGUAAAAUCCAUUGAUCCAUAGAGGACCACCAGUGGGGAGGGCGUUCUCCCAGAACGCGUUGGACGGUGAGGGAUGAAAGCUGGGGGAGCAAACCGGAUUAGAUACCCGGGUAGUCCAGCUGUAAACGAUGCAAACUCGGUGAUGCAUUGGCUUAUGGCCAAUGCAGUGCCGCAGGGAAGCCGUUAAGUUUGCCGCCUGGGAAGUACGGACGCAAGUUCUGAAACUUAAAGGAAUUGGCGGGG